Molecule: transfer RNA, 109 nt
Filed under: Azospirillum brasilense
Lineage: Bacteria; Pseudomonadati; Pseudomonadota; Alphaproteobacteria; Rhodospirillales; Azospirillaceae
Description: tRNA-Ile
Rfam family: tRNA
About the family: Transfer RNA (tRNA) molecules are approximately 80 nucleotides in length.
Source: RNAcentral
GGGCUAGUAGCUCAGUUGGUUAGAGCGCGCGCUUGAUAAGCGUGAGGUCGGAGGUUCAGCGCGCUUGAUAAGCGUGAGGUCGGAGGUUCAAAUCCUCCCUGGCCCACCA